AUUCCAUGAUGGGGACAUUCUAGGAUGUAGUCUUGAAAGCGCUCCCAUGCUUCUGGAACAGAUUCAUCAUUUUGUUGCUGAAAACUCGUAAUCUUCCCACAGAGAGC
Sorghum bicolor (sorghum) is the source of this 107-nucleotide small nucleolar RNA. It matches the Rfam family "Plant small nucleolar RNA R71". From Rfam's summary of the family: R71 is a member of the C/D box family of snoRNAs containing the C (UGAUGA) and D (CUGA) box motifs. Multiple nearly identical copies of this snoRNA have been identified in Arabidopsis, and it is thought to function as a 2'-O-ribose methylation guide for 18S ribosomal RNA. NCBI's taxonomy places the organism in Eukaryota, Viridiplantae, Streptophyta, Magnoliopsida, Poales, Poaceae. The record is from Rfam.